AUACGGAAGGUCCGGGCGUGAUCCGGAUUUAUUGGGUUUAAAGGGAGCGCAGGCGGAGAUGCAAGCGUGACGUCAAAUUUCGGGGCUCAACCCCGUCUCGCGUCGCGAACUGCGUCCCUUGGUUGCGGGAAGGGGAGGCGGAACUCGUGGUGUAGCGGUGAAAUGCAUAGAUAUCACGAAGAACUCCGAUCGCGAAGGCAGCCUUCCGGCCCGUCAACGACGCUCAUGCUCGAAGGUGCGGGUAUCAAACAGGAUUAGAUACCCUGGUAGUCCGCACAGUAAACGAUGGACACCCGCGGUUUGGCCUGUAUGGCUGAGCCGCCAAGCGAAAGCGUUAAGUGUCCCACCUGGGGAGUACGCCGGCAACGGUGAAACUUAAAGGAAUUGACGGGG
RNAcentral lists this ribosomal RNA (393 nucleotides) under uncultured bacterium. RNAcentral describes it as "partial 16S ribosomal RNA". It matches the Rfam family "Bacterial small subunit ribosomal RNA", at positions 523 to 918 of the family's 1533-position model. The record is from RNAcentral.